This 23-nucleotide transfer RNA is filed under the name Trachycarpus fortunei (windmill palm). RNAcentral's name for it is "partial tRNA-Leu". RNAcentral also lists the same sequence under 15 other names. Lineage: Eukaryota; Viridiplantae; Streptophyta; Magnoliopsida; Arecales; Arecaceae. The record is from RNAcentral.
GGUUCAAGUCCCUCUAUCCCCAA